Long non-coding RNA from Bos taurus (domestic cattle), 1090 nucleotides. Lineage: Eukaryota; Metazoa; Chordata; Mammalia; Artiodactyla; Bovidae. The record is from Ensembl.
GGCAGCUCUUAGCAGAUGAGAUGAUGGACAAUGAAACCUACUUGUUUCAUCUGGGCUGAUGAAGGGCAUGGGCUUUGCAUUCAUGGGUUUCGGGGUUCAGAUCCCAGUCUUGACACUUAGAAGUUGUGAGACAACACAAGAUACUUAAGAUAUUUAGUUUAUAGAUGCAGCACCUGAGGCAUAAAGAGGUUGAGUGACUCCUAAGGGAUGGAAUUAAGUAUGUGCUGUUGAAAAUGAGGACUCAGUCAGGAGCCUCCCUGGAACUUGUGAAGAUGCGAAUUCUCAGGUCCUGCCCAGGACUCCCUGGAUCAGAAAUGCUGUGGAUGGGCCUAUAAAUCUCUGUUUUAACAAACCCUCCAGGUGAUUCUAAGGUACAUCAGGCUUUUAGAAUGACAAUCCAGAAAGCAAGGGAGCAUUGCCAGGACAAGUCAGGAGCGAGGAUAGCAGUUAAAGAAGCGUAUUCCUAUUAAGGAAGGGUACUGUCAUCAUUAUCUCCAGCGCAGACGAGGACACUUACACGCCCUUUAACGAGGCUUACGGAUCCUUAGUUUUGCAAGUACCUAACCUACAGAGUGUGUGAGCAGCAGAGCCAGCAUUCAAUGGAAAGAGGGAGGAAAGUCUUUCUGAUUCCACCUGUGUCUGCUGCUUUCCUGCCAUCUCUUCAACAGAUUUGUCCCACUGUUGCAAACAUAAGCUGGUAAUACACAAACGCGUAGUCAGAACAAAAAAUUUAAAAAGACAGAACAAAUCCCAUCUGGGCAUUGAUCUGUAUCUCUGGAAUUCAGCGUGGUGUUCUCUCUCAUUUUGGCCAUGCAGACCUUCCAUGGCUUGCUUUUCGCUUCUCUGGUGCCAACGCUGUUUUUGACAAUUGUUUAACGUCCUAUAUGCAUUAAAGACUUUUUCUUUUUUAAAAAAUCUUUAUUGGAGUAUAACUGAUUUACAAUGUUGUGUUAGUUUCAGGUGUACAGCAAAGUGAAUCUGCUAUCCAUACACACAUAUCCACUCUCGUUUAGAUUAUUUUCCCGUGUAGACCAUUACAGAGUAUUGAGUGGAGAUCCCUAUGCUGCGCAGCAAGUUCUUAUUAGUUAUU